AUUCCAUGAUGGGGACAUUCUAGGAUGUAGUGUUGAAAGCGCUCCUAUGCUUCUGGAACGGAUUCAUCAUUUUGUUGCUGAAAACUUGUAAUCUUCCCACGGAGAGC
Small nucleolar RNA from Sorghum bicolor (sorghum), 107 nucleotides. It matches the Rfam family "Plant small nucleolar RNA R71". From Rfam's summary of the family: R71 is a member of the C/D box family of snoRNAs containing the C (UGAUGA) and D (CUGA) box motifs. Lineage: Eukaryota; Viridiplantae; Streptophyta; Magnoliopsida; Poales; Poaceae. The record is from Rfam.